Molecule: transfer RNA, 87 nt
Filed under: Candidatus Berkelbacteria bacterium
Lineage: Bacteria; Candidatus Berkelbacteria
Description: tRNA-Tyr
Rfam family: tRNA
About the family: Transfer RNA (tRNA) molecules are approximately 80 nucleotides in length. Their secondary structure includes four short double-helical elements and three loops (D, anti-codon, and T loops).
Source: RNAcentral
GCCGGGUUGGCAGAGCGGUCAAUUGCACUUGACUGUAAAUCAAGCGCCCUCGUGGCUUCGGAGGUUCGAAUCCUUCACCCGGCACCA